RNAcentral lists this ribosomal RNA (497 nucleotides) under uncultured bacterium. RNAcentral describes it as "partial 16S ribosomal RNA". It matches the Rfam family "Bacterial small subunit ribosomal RNA", at positions 28 to 507 of the family's 1533-position model. The record is from RNAcentral.
GACGAACGCUGGCGGCGUGCCUAAUACAUGCAAGUUGAGCGAUGAAGAUUGGUGCUUGCACCAAUUUGAAGAGCAGCGAACGGGUGAGUAACGCGUGGGGAAUCUGCCUUUGAGCGGGGGACAACAUUUGGAAACGAAUGCUAAUACCGCAUAACAACUUUAAACAUAAGUUUUAAGUUUGAAAGAUGCAAUUGCAUCACUUAAAGAUGAUCCCGCGUUGUAUUAGCUAGUUGGUGAGGUAAAGGCUCACCAAGGCGAUGAUACAUAGCCGACCUGAGAGGGUGAUCGGCCACAUUGGGACUGAGACACGGCCCAAACUCCUACGGGAGGCAGCAGUAGGGAAUCUUCGGCAAUGGACGAAAGUCUGACCGAGCAACGCCGCGUGAGUGAAGAAGGUUUUCGGAUCGUAAAACUCUGUUGGUAGAGAAGAACGUUGGUGAGAGUGGAAAGCUCAUCAAGUGACGGUAACUACCCAGAAAGGGACGGCUAACUACGUG